Sinocyclocheilus grahami is the source of this 584-nucleotide long non-coding RNA. RefSeq lists it as uncharacterized. Lineage: Eukaryota; Metazoa; Chordata; Actinopteri; Cypriniformes; Cyprinidae. The transcript has 3 exons. The record is from RefSeq and is a predicted model, not a curated record.
UUGCCAGGGUUUCUUUGAACUAUCAUUUUUGCAUCCCACAUGCAGCACUUCACGUUUCUCUGAGGAAUAUUUGGAGAUGUUUGCUGCGGGUCUAUCAGGCCGUGAUCAGAGGAUGUCUCAUAUUGUCUUUCUUCUUUGAGGCCCCCGCUACCGUUUUUGAUUUUUUUUGGAAGACAUAUUAGCAUACCCCUCUGCCCAAGGAGCCAUCCUAAAGGACUUCAGAUUGCUGUGAGGAGGUUUGCUGACAUUCACAGGAGCAACGCCAAACAGGAAUCAUCCAUCAGCCCCCACACAUUUGUGUCCAUCCUCUCAUUUCAGAGCUAAAGAUAUCAGCUGCCCCUCUCCACGUCACCCUCAAAUAGGAAAUGGAAUCCGUGCGCCAUGGUUGCAGUCAGUCAAGCGUCUCUACAGUUACAUGCAGGUCAUCGAGUCCCAGCAGACGCCAUCGUCUCACAGCUGGGGACACAAAACAUUUUCAAACCUUGACAUAAAAAACUGUUUGUUUUGAUCUCAAAAUACAUUAGCUAGGAGAACAUUUCACUCGCUUUCCAGUUAAACCGCCAGAGACUGUCCGCGUACCUUUC